Molecule: transfer RNA, 73 nt
Filed under: Actinomycetes bacterium
Lineage: Bacteria; Bacillati; Actinomycetota; Actinomycetes
Also listed under: 3 other names
Description: Actinobacteria bacterium tRNA-Val
Rfam family: tRNA
About the family: Transfer RNA (tRNA) molecules are approximately 80 nucleotides in length. Their secondary structure includes four short double-helical elements and three loops (D, anti-codon, and T loops).
Source: RNAcentral
GGGCGGUUAGCUCAGCUGGGAGAGCGCCUGCCUUACAAGCAGGAGGUCGCGUGUUCGAGCCACGCACCGCCCA